RNAcentral lists this ribosomal RNA (731 nucleotides) under uncultured bacterium. RNAcentral describes it as "bacterial SSU rRNA". It matches the Rfam family "Bacterial small subunit ribosomal RNA", at positions 134 to 851 of the family's 1533-position model. The record is from RNAcentral.
GAGACUGGGAUUACACCUGGAAACAGAUGCUAAUAUCGGAUAACAACACUAGACGCAUGUCUAGAGUUUAAAAGAUGGUUCUGCUAUCACUCUUGGAUGGACCUGCGGUGCAUUAGCUAGUUGGUAAGGUAACGGCUUACCAAGGCAAUGAUGCAUAGCCGAGUUGAGAGACUGAUCGGCCACAUUGGGACUGAGACACGGCCCAAACUCCUACGGGAGGCAGCAGUAGGGAAUCUUCCACAAUGGACGCAAGUCUGAUGGAGCAACGCCGCGUGAGUGAAGAAGGGUUUCGGCUCGUAAAGCUCUGUUGGUAGUGAAGAAAGAUAGAGGUAGUAACUGGCCUUUAUUUGACGGUAAUUACCUAGAAAGUCACGGCUAACUACGUGCCAGCAGCCGCGGUAAUACGUAGGUGGCAAGCGUUGUCCGGAUUUAUUGGGCGUAAAGCGAGUGCAGGCGGUUCAAUAAGUCUGAUGUGAAAGCCUUCGGCUCAACCGGAGAAUUGCAUCAGAAACUGUUGAACUUGAGUGCAGAAGAGGAGAGUGGAACUCCAUGUGUAGCGGUGGAAUGCGUAGAUAUAUGGAAGAACACCAGUGGCGAAGGCGGCUCUCUGGUCUGCAACUGACACUGAGGCUCGAAAGCAUGGGUAGCGAACAGGAUUAGAUACCCUGGUAGUCCAUGCCGUAAACGAUGAGUAAUAAGUGUUGGGAGGUUUCCGCCUCUCAGUGCCGCAG